GCCAGUGUGGGGCCGGAUUCCUGGGAGCUCUCCAGUGUCUCGGGGAACUUCGUUAAUGUUGCUUUAAACCAUCCGAGGGAUGAGAUGCACACGGCAUUCUGUGCAGCUUAUAAACCCCAUGACAAGCCCAACACCCAAUUAAAAUCUCAAUACAAAUACGGUAUAAUCCCAAACCGCAAAGAAAGAAAAUGUCCCCAAAGCUUCCCACUCAGCCGCUUAAACACGGCACCUGAAAAUUAAAGACAGAUUAGAGGAAAUGACCUGUACAUAUCUGUGACAGGGGUAAUUCUACUCCUAAUAUGUUCCUUGGAAAAUAGAAAUAUUAGAGGAAGGUAGCAUGUGAGCAGAAUCAGCCAUUAUGUGUGUCACUUGCUGCCUAAUUUUAAACCCCGGGAGGGCACAGACUCAGGGCUGACUUUUAAAUACUUUUCUCAUUAGCCGUCUUAUUUACCGACUGUCCCUUUCACUGCAUUAUUGCUUUAUCAACAUAAAGCGCCAGAUGCUUAUCAUACUGAUGAAGUGCUUACAAGCUGAAACGUGACAGGAAGCCCUCAGGGUGCAAAGCUCAGUGUCGGUUCCCUGCGCGGUCCAGUGCAACGCAAAACACGAGGAGCGCCACCGCUGAACACGCGCCAUAACCUGAACACCACAGAACGUCCAGCAACGUCACACUGACGCAGAGAGGGAAGCUGAAGCAUAAGGAAGGACACACCAGAGUGGAGACGACGGCUGUAAAAUGAGAGCUGACAGCUGGGGGGAGGAGACACACGGGGGAGGGAAGAGGUUGGAGAACAUAACGGCCAAACGGCAGAGGUCAGGACGGCAGCCGGGGCGCUGCUGGGGGGCCGCUGAGACGGGAGGACGGGGAAGC
Molecule: non-coding RNA, 871 nt
Organism: Paramormyrops kingsleyae
Lineage: Eukaryota; Metazoa; Chordata; Actinopteri; Osteoglossiformes; Mormyridae
Source: RefSeq, a predicted model, not a curated record